Branchiostoma floridae (Florida lancelet) is the source of this 302-nucleotide long non-coding RNA. RefSeq lists it as uncharacterized. The transcript is spliced from 4 exons. Lineage: Eukaryota; Metazoa; Chordata; Leptocardii; Amphioxiformes; Branchiostomatidae. The record is from RefSeq and is a predicted model, not a curated record.
GAAGAUAUCCGGCUGUGUGCAGUGCCAAGUUCACAUAGGGGGAGUAUAAAAGGUCCUAAGUUUCACAAGUUUCCAGCGGUCGAGAUAGAGGUGACAACGUGGUUCAGCUCUUCACGCAGAGUCGCUGUUCUGAUAUACAGUUAUUGACCCCGGACAAUCAACCAUGAGACUCUGUCUUCUUCUGUUUGUGGCUGUGGCAUCUGCAUCUCCUGCGAAUGGGCAGGCCGAUGUCAGUGACGCCCCAUCCAUGAGCAAUGGCACUGACGCCAAUCCUUGUGAGGACAUCACCGGACUCUGGUUCC